AAUUGGAGGCCAGUGAAUGGCAAGACUAGGGAUAUCUGUACCCUGUAUAGAAAAACAACUUUUCAUCUGGGUGAAAAGACCCAAAUGAUAAAGGAAGACGAAAAGACCCCGCGGAACUUUACCUUUUCCAGUCUCCACAUGCUCAGGAACAUUGGAACAAAAGGUUUGAUUGGGGCAAUCUCGGAACCACCAAAACUUCCGACUUAUAAGAAAAAAAUAUAAAACUUGAUAAGGACCAAAAAGAAGUUACCCCGGGGAUAACAGCGUAAUCCAACUUGAGAGUACACAUCGAAAGCUGGGUUUGCGACCUCGAUGUUGGCUUAAGGAUAUCCACAUAAGUGCAACCGCUAUGGUAGGACAGUCUGUUCGACUAUUAUACCCUUACACGAGCUG
This 393-nucleotide ribosomal RNA is filed under the name Lampsilis radiata radiata. RNAcentral's name for it is "partial 16S ribosomal RNA". The stretch from base 66 to 393 matches the Rfam family "Bacterial large subunit ribosomal RNA", at positions 2048 to 2607 of the family's 2925-position model. The record is from RNAcentral. Lineage: Eukaryota; Metazoa; Mollusca; Bivalvia; Unionida; Unionidae.